Molecule: ribosomal RNA, 230 nt
Filed under: uncultured bacterium
Lineage: Bacteria
Description: partial 16S ribosomal RNA
Rfam family: Bacterial small subunit ribosomal RNA
Source: RNAcentral
AAAGCGUGCGCAGGCGGUUAUACAAGACAGGCGUGAAAUCCCCGGGCUUAACCUGGGAAUGGCGUCUGUGACUGUAUGACUAGAGUGUGUCAGAGGGGGGUAGAAUUCCACGUGUAGCAGUGAAAUGCGUAGAUAUGUGGAGGAAUACCAAUGGCGAAGGCAGCCCCCUGGGAUAACACUGACGCUCAUGCACGAAAGCGUGGGGAGCAAACAGGAUUAGAUACCCCUGU